UCCUAGUUUCCUAGGCAGUCCCAUCAGAGUGCUUCCUCACGGAAUAGCAACUGAUAGCAAGGGUUGCGCUCGUUAAAGGACUUAACCCAACAUCUCACGACACGAGCUGACGACAGCCAUGCAGCACCUGUCUACAUGUCCAGGCUUACGCCUGGAAAACCAUAUUUCUACGGCGGUCAUGCACAUGUCAAACCCAGGUAAGGUUCCUCGCGUAGUAUCGAAUUAAACCACAUGUUCCACCGCUUGUGCGGACCCCCGUCAAUUUCUUUGAGUUUUAAUCUUGCGACCGUACUCCCCAGGCGGAUCACUUAUCGCGUUAGCUACGACACUAAUCCUGCAAAGCAAGACCAACGUCUAGUGAUCAUCGUUUACAGCGUGGACUAC
RNAcentral lists this unclassified non-coding RNA (384 nucleotides) under uncultured bacterium. Its description in RNAcentral is "contains 16S-23S intergenic spacer region". The record is from RNAcentral.